CUGGCUGCAACUGUUUAAUAAAAACACAGCACUGUGCAAACACGAAAGUGGACGUAUACGGUGUGACGCCUGCCCGGUGCUGGAAGGUUAAUUGAUGGGGUCAGCCGCAAGGCGAAGCUCUUGAUCGAAGCCCCAGUAAACGGCGGCCGUAACUAUAACGGUCCUAAGGUAGCGAAAUUCCUUGUCGGGUAAGUUCCGACCUGCACGAAUGGCGUAAUGAUGGCCAGGCUGUCUCCACCCGAGACUCAGUGAAAUUGAACUCGCUGUGAAGAUGCAGUGUACCCGCGGCAAGACGGAAAGACCCCGUGAACCUUUACUAUAGCUUGACACUGAACAUUGAGCCUUGAUGUGUAGGAUAGGUGGGAGGCUUUGAAGCGUGGACGCCAGUCUGCGUGGAGCCAUCCUUGAAAUACCACCCUU
RNAcentral lists this ribosomal RNA (420 nucleotides) under Serratia marcescens. RNAcentral's name for it is "partial 23S ribosomal RNA". It matches the Rfam family "Bacterial large subunit ribosomal RNA", at positions 1790 to 2207 of the family's 2925-position model. Lineage: Bacteria; Pseudomonadati; Pseudomonadota; Gammaproteobacteria; Enterobacterales; Yersiniaceae. The record is from RNAcentral.